RNAcentral lists this ribosomal RNA (1484 nucleotides) under metagenome. RNAcentral's name for it is "bacterial SSU rRNA". It matches the Rfam family "Bacterial small subunit ribosomal RNA". The record is from RNAcentral.
AGAGUUUGAUCAUGGCUCAGGAUGAACGCUAGCGGCAGGCUUAACACAUGCAAGUCGAGGGGCAGCGCGGGAUAGCAAUAUCCUGGCGGCGACCGGCGGAAGGGUGCGUAACGCGUGAGCGACAUGCCCGUUGCCCGGGGACAACCGGUGGAAACGCCGACUAAUCCCCGAUGGGAUACGAUGCUUCAUGGCAUUGUAUUGAAAGUUACGGCGGCGACGGAUUGGCUCGCGCCCGAUUAGCUUGUUGGCGGGGUAACGGCCCACCAAGGCUACGAUCGGUAGGGGUUCUGAGAGGAAGGCCCCCCACAAUGGGACUGAGACACGGCCCAUACUCCUACGGGAGGCAGCAGUGAGGAAUAUUGGUCAAUGGGCGGAAGCCUGAACCAGCCAUGCCGCGUGCGGGAAGGAGGCCCUAUGGGCUGUGAACCGCUUUUGCCUGGGGGCAAUAAGGGCGUCGCGCACGUCCGAUGAGAGUACCAGGCGAAUAAGCAUCGGCUAACUCCGUGCCAGCAGCCGCGGCAAUACGGGGGAUGCGAGCGUUAUCCGGAUCCAUUGGGUUUAAAGGGCGCGUAGGCUGUGCGUCAAGUCGGGGGUGAAAUUCCGGUGCUCAACACCGGGGCUGCCCUUGAUACUGUCGCGCUGGAGUGCGGAUGCCGCCGGAGGAAUGAGUGGUGUAGCGGUGAAAUGCUUAGAUAUCACUCAGAACACCGAUUGCGAAGGCAUCUGGCGAAUCCGUAACUGACGCUGAGGCACGAAAGCGUGGGGAUAGAACAGGAUUAGAUACCCUGGUAUUCCACGCCGUAAACGAUGAUGGCUAACCGCCGGCGACACACUGUCAGCGGCCAAGCGAAAGCAUUAAGCAUCCCACCUGGGGAGUACGCCGGCAACGGUGAAACUCAAAGGAAUUGACGGGGGCCCGCACAAGCGGAGGAACAUGUGGUUUAAUUCGAUGAUACGCGAGGAACCUUACCCGGGCUUGAAUUGCAGAGGAAGGAUUUGGAGACAAUGACGCCCUUCGGGGCCUCUGUGAAGGUGCUGCAUGGUUGUCGUCAGCUCGUGCCGUGAGGUGUCGGCUUAAGUGCCAUAACGAGCGCAACCCCUCUCCUUAGUUGCCAUCAGGUUAAGCUGGGCACCCUGGGGACACUGCCACCGUAAGGUGUGAGGAAGGUGGGGAUGACGUCAAAUCAGCACGGCCCUUACGUCCGGGGCUACACACGUGUUACAAUGGCAGGUACAGAGAGACGGUUGUACGUAAGUACGAUCAAAUCCUUAAAGCCUGUCUCAGUUCGGACUGGGGUCUGCAACCCGACCCCACGAAGCUGGAUUCGCUAGUAAUCGCGCAUCAGCCAUGGCGCGGUGAAUACGUUCCCGGGCCUUGUACACACCGCCCGUCAAGCCAUGAAAGCCGGGGGCGCCUAAAGUCCGUGACCGUAAGGAGCGGCCUAGGGCGAAACUGGUAAUUGGGGCUAAGUCGUAACAAGGUA